This is a small nucleolar RNA of Zingiber officinale, 110 nucleotides long. The record is from RefSeq and is a predicted model, not a curated record. NCBI's taxonomy places the organism in Eukaryota, Viridiplantae, Streptophyta, Magnoliopsida, Zingiberales, Zingiberaceae.
AAUCCAUGAUGUGGACACGAUAUGAGCAUACUUUUGAAUCUAUCUCAUGCUUCAUAAAGAGAUUUUAUAUCAAUCUGUUUGAAGCUUGCAAUCUGAUUUCUCAUGUGUGU